CCACCAGCAUUUUGUGUGUGUUGUUCUAAUACCUUCAUUAUUUAUUUUAAAAGACGGAGGAAAACAAAUCUUUCCUACAGCUGUACUGGAUGGAUCCAAGCUGGGUUUGAAAUGGCAGAACACUUGUGCACGGGAAUCUCAACCACAACAACACAUCAGUUUUGCUGACUCUGUCUGGAUAUUUAAGGAGUAACCAAAUAUUUUCUUUGCUACACCAACACAUCUGUUGUCGAUCCUUGGAGAUGAAGAAUUAUCUCAUCCCAGCUGGUGAUGUAUUCUGUCUCUGAAAUGAAGUUUUCUGUUUUAACUCAGUGAAAUUCACUGGAACUGGGAGCUGAGAACUCACCAGCAUUUGUUCACUGGAGAUCAGUUCUUCAGCUGCAUUGAUUGUACAAGGGAUUCAAACGUCUGACUUUCUGAAUUGCCAGAGAAUUGAUCACAGUGAGAUAUCAUUCUCCUUCUCUCAGUGUGGGAAGAGAUUCACUCACAGGCUACCCGCAGACACGCCAGUGAGUUCACAGUGGGGAGAGGCCAUUCACCCGCUCUGUGUGAGGGAGGGGAACCACUCAGUCAUCCAGUCUGAAGAUACAUCAGCAAGUUCACACCAUAGUGAGAUGCUUCACCUGUUCUGUAAGGGGGAAGCCAUUCUGUUAUCGAUGGUAAUGGUAUAUCAGAAAAUUCACCAGUGAGGGGAGAUUGACCUGAAGAUGGUGGAAGGCAUUCACAUACUCAACCACACCACAGUGACGCCAGCCAGUUCACACCGGGGAGAUGCCAUUCACCUGCUCUGAAUGUGGGAAAGGGUUCACUCAAUCAUCUCAGCUGAAUGAACAUCAGCGAGUUCACACUGAAAAGAUGCCGUUCACCUGCUCAGACUGUGGGAAAGGAUUCACUCACUCAUCCGACCUACAGAGACACCAGCGAGUUCACACUGGGAAGAAGCCAUUCACAUGCUCUGAAUGUGGGAAGGGAUUUGCUCGGUCAUCUCUGCUCUUGAAACACCAGCAAAUUCACACUGGGGACAAACCAUUCAUCUGCUCAGAAUGUGGGAAGGGAUUCACCGAUUCAGCUCAGCUGAAAAAACAUCAGUUUGUUCACACUGCGGAGAGACCGUUCACCUGCUCAGACUGUGGGAAAGGAUUCAUUCGGCAUUCUCAUCUACUGACACACCAGUUAGAUCACACUGGGGAGAAACCAUUCAUCUGCUCUGAAUGUGGGAAGGGAUUCACCCAUUCAGCUCAACUGAAGGAACAUCAGCGACUUCACACUGGUGAAUGGCCGUUCACCUGCUCUGAAUGUGGGAAGGGAUUCACUCGGUCAUCUCGACUGAAGGUGCAUCAGCGAGUUCACACUGGGGAGAGGCCGUUCAUCUGCUCUGAAUGUGGGAAGGGAUUCGCUGUGUCAUCUCAACUGCAGGUACAUCAGAAAUUUCACACUGGGGAGAGGCCAUUCAGAUGCUCUGAAUGUGGGAGGGGCUUCAUUCAGCCAUUUCGACUGAAGCUACAUCAGCGAGUUCACACUGGGGAGAAACCGUUCACCUGCUCUGAAUGUGGGAAGGGAUUCACUCGGCAAUCUCAACUGACGGAACAUCAGCGAGUUCACACUGGGGAGAGGCCAUUCGCCUGCUCUGAAUGUGGGAAUAGUUUUGCUUGGUCAUCUCAGCUGAAGGUACAUCAGCGAAUUCACACUGGGGAGAAACCUUUCAGCUGCUCUGAAUGUGGGAAGGGAUUCACUCAGUCAUCCAAACUUUUGAGGCAUUACCAAAUUCACACUAGGAAGAAUCUGUUCACCUGCUCAGAUUGUGGGAAAGAAUUCACUCGGUUAUCUGACUUUAAAACACAUCAGCGAAUUCCCACUGGGGGAUGCCACUCACCUGUUCUGAAUGUGGGAAAGGAUUCACUCAGACAUCUCAAUUAAGACUAUAAGAUAUAGGGGCAGAAGUAGGCCAUUCGGACUUUCGAGUCUGCUCCGCCAUUCAAUCAUGGGCUGAUCCAAUUCUUCCAGUCAUCCCCACUCCCCUGCCUUCUCCCCAUACCCUUUGAUGCUCUACCUAAGCAGGAACCUAUCCCUCUCUGCCUUAAGUGCACCGAAUGACUUGGCCUCCACAGUUGCUUGUGGCAACAAAUUCCACAAAUUUACCACCCUCGGAGUAAAGGUCACACCAGCCCCUCUGCCGACUAACCUAUCUUUCUGAUACACCGUAUAUCCUUGGACAUUCAGCUCCCAAUGGCAGCCAUCCUUUAGCCAAGUUUCAGAGAUAUCCACAAAGUCAAUGUGUAGCUGAAUUUCAAGAUAAUCCAUUUUAUUUCUUAUGCUGUGUGCAUACAAAUAUAACACUUUCAGUCCAGUAUUGAAUGAACUUCAGCGAGUACACACUGGGGAGAAACUGUACACUGCUCAGAGCGGGAAGGAAUUCACUCCGUCAUCUCAAAUGAAUAAACAUCACCGAGUUCACACUGAGUAGAAACCGUUCAUCUGUUCCAACUGGGAAUGAAUUCACACUUCCAUCUCGCCUGCCGACACACCAGACUGUUUUCAGCAGUGUGUGGACGUUGAUCUGCUCAGACUGUGGGAAGGCAUUCACACACUUAUCCACGCUGCAGAGACAGUGGGUUCACACUGUGGUGAGGGUGGUGAUGUGCUCUGAAUGUGGGAUGGGUUUCAAUCAGUCAUUCAUCCUUGUGUCACCCUAUUCAGCUUUGAACCAUCGUUAAUCAGAGUGAUCUGAAGCUUGAGAGGAUGAAAUUCAUUCAGGUUUGCCAAUCGAGUAGUAGAAGCAGUGGUUCAGGGCAGGUUAUUUUUGAGCUUUCACCAGUGGCCAAUCAACAGUCAGGAUUGAUUACCAAGAAGAUCUUGGGCAGGACCAAGUGCAGUGGGCAGAGUCAGAGCGGAGACUUUGAGACUUUACCUCUUUCAAGUUUCAGUAAGGAGAACCUUCAAUCAGAGAAGGCAGAAUUAUGCUGGAGGUAGAAAUUUUUUGCCCCCUUCCUCACGUUUGCUCAGUUAGAACAGUGGAGAUGCCAGGCAGGAUAGUGGAAAGCUCCUCCUGUGGGAUGUGGGAAGGCAGGAAACCCUCCUAUGUCCUGAUAACUACACCUGUGAGAAGUGCAUCCAGCUUCAGCUCCGAACAAUCCACAUUGAGGAGUGGGAGCUGGAACUGGAUGAACUCCAGACCAUUCGGGAGGCUGGAGGGGUGAUAGGUAGGAAUUAUAGAGAGGUAGUUGCACCCAAGGUCACAGCACAGUAAACUGGGUGACAGGAAGGGAAAAGGGGGAAACAGUGAGUGCAGUGUACCCCUGUGUCCAUCCCCAUGGACAACACAUAUAUCACUUUAGAUACUGUUAAAGACGGUGGGAUGACCUGGCAAAGGAAGGUCACAGCAGGAGGAUCUCUGGCGCUUAGUCUGGCUCUGAGACUGAGAAGGGAAGGGUGGAGAAGAGGUAAGCUGUGGUCAUAGGUGAUUCGUUAGCUAAGGGAACUGACUGGAUGUUCUGUGGGUGAGAAUGAGAUUCCAGGAUGGUAUGUUGCCUCCUGUGUGCUGGGUCUGGGACAUUUCGGGUCGAGCGCACGGCAUUCCUCAGGAGGGUGAACAGUGAAGGUCGUGGUUCAUGUGGAUGAUAUGGGCUGGUAGAGUAACGAGGUUCUGCAAAGGGAGUUCUGGGGGUGAGGUGCUAAGUUAAAGGGCAGCUCGUCCAGGGCUGUGACCUCAGGUCUGCAUCUGUGCCACAUACCAGAAACAGGAAGAUUAUACAGUUUAACACAUGGCUAAGGAGUUACUGCAGGAGUGAGGGCAUAAGAUUUUCGAAUUACAGUAUUUCAGUUGGUGAUGAUUGCGGUUUGUUUAGGAAUGUGAGUUCAUUGGGCAGGAGGGGGACAUCAUUGAUGCAGGCUGAAGUGGGCAGACAGGUCUCUCACACACAAACACAUAAAGGGGAGUGAGAAUGGAACAGAGAAAGGAGGAGGAUGGAGUUUGGGCUCCUUCACAAAGUCCCAGACUCACCCAACUCUCCCCCUCUGGAAUUGGUCCCAUUUCCUACCCAAGGCUGGGGGUGAGCAUUGAGUUACGUUGCAAACAUUUUUAUGAAUUGUUCGGUAACAUCUCGUGAACAAACUUUGAUAAUCAAUUUACGUUGAACUUGGACAUUGAAAUUUAUUGUUUGAGAAACAUGUACUGAUGAGAACACAUAUCGGAGUCUAUCCCAUCUGUCUGUGCUUGACACGUAUAGGGUUCUCAGUAAUACUAGAUGGACUGUUCACUGUUAGUGGCUUCUCGUACUGUUAACUGCUGAGCAACGGGUUCUCUGUAACAGCCAUGUUUGGGUUAUACUAUGUGAUAAUGGAAAUUGUCUUCAUUUUGCUGGCCAAUGGAAGUCAUGUUAUGUUAUCUUGUAUAUGUGUGCUGAGUUGAGGAGCGCAGGCUUUUUCGGGAGGCGAGCAGAGAGGACGAACAUGUGGGGAACGGACAGUGGUUCCAGGGCGGCGGAUACCAGACCUCAGGAGUUCGGAGGGUGGCCGGAGUCUCGGAAGGACAGUGUGGAUGGAAUCGGAGGCGUGAGCUCCAACGUAUUAAAAUAUUAUAUGCACAAGCUUGAUAAGUUACUUAUGUGGCACCUUUUCUUUUAGUUGUUGCUACUAACCCAUCACCAAAAUUUCGUUUACUCGCACUUGAUAUAUUGUUUGAUAUUUGUGUCGUGACUGAUAGUUGGACGACUCACACCGUAUCUACACCAAAGCAUUUGAACUGUUGGCGGGGUCAACGGCUAUUCACCCUAGAUAACGGGAGUCAGUUGGGGCAAAGGCCGUUACAUUGUGGGGGCUCUUCCGGGAUUUGAAUUCUGUCAGGAUAAGGGAUAAGUCGCCCGGGUUAAGUUAGAAGAGAUGGACGCAGAUAAGAUUGAACUUUGGUGUGAGAUCGAGGAUGGCCCGGUUAAUCAUGCCUGCCGAUUAAGUGGGGUGGAUAUAGUACGCCGGACGAUGUGUGAACUCGAUGUCUGAGUACGGUCAGAGCUAUUGGUAAGGUUGAGAUUGUAAACAGAAAGAUUAAUAAAACGGGGCACUCAGCCUCUGUGCUGAUACAGACGGCUGCUGACAUCAAGGAGUUGGAACUGCCCCAGUCUAUCGGUGACUUAGGUGAGGUGGGGCCUUGGGGCGUGCACGCUGUCACGGAGGAAGGGUCUGAAGAGACACCGGAGGGGUUGCCCGAAGCUGGGGGCGGAGAUUUCAGAGAGCGGGUCCAAUCGUUUUUGAGGGAUGAAGGAAGGGGGUGGUCGGAUUUGGAGAAUGUAAUUAGUUCUCAUUCCCCACGGAAGGGGGAGGGCUCUGAGUUGGCCUCUUUGGUGAACCGGGCGGUGGGUCCGCGACAGAAGUUAAAAAUUUUACCAGGGAGGACUCCCCAUCCCCGACGGGGAAGAGGAUUACGAGUCUUGGAUAGAACAUACCUCUCAGUUGCAGUGUUCUGAGGAGGAGAAACGGCAAAGAUUGGGGAACAGUUUGAGAGGGGCGGCAGCUGAGGUGGUAAAAGAGGCGAGAGUUAACCAGCCCCUGGCUUCUCGGAAGGAGUGUCUAGUCGCCCUAGAGGAGGCGUUUGGGCUGACGGUGCAGCUUUUAGGGGUGAUUCAGAAUCUGUGUCAGGAGAUAGGGGAAAGGCUUUCUGAGUAUCUUCUCCGACUUGAGCGUAGGCGAAAUUGCUUGAGGUGCCGGGGGGUCAUUUCAAGAGCUGAGGUGGAUCGGAUAAGGAUCGACCAGGUAGUCAGGGGCGCGCAGAGACAUGAUGCGAUCGCUACGAGCCUCUGACAGUCUCGUAGAGCGUGCCCCCUGCCUCCGUCUUUUGUUCAGUUUGCUCAGAGUGGUAAGGGAGGAGGAGGACGAAUUGGAAGCGGAAGAAGGCUCUGUUAACAAGGUAUAGUCCUCGGUAGUAGCUCUUUGUGGUGAAAUGACCGGGGCCAGCUCCAUGUGGAGACACAAAAGGGGGUCGCGGCAGGUGGGGUCCCUCCGCGGGAGGGGACUGGCGGAGAAGGUGCCUCCCUGAAGGGACGGCCGGCACUGAGUCCAGGCGGAGACUAGGGUCCUGCGAGGCCAGGCGUGUGCUAUAACUGCGGGGAAGAGGUGGCACUUCAGGUGAACAGCAGGGAGCCCCUCGGAGGGAGAGCCCUCGGGUGUCCCAGCAGGAAGGGGGGUCGGGAAACUUAGAAGAGACUCACUGAGGGAACGCAUUGGAGUCUCUGGGAAAAUACGUUCCCAACAGUGUGCCGCGGGACCCUCAAGAGGAAAAGACCCUAUCCCAGAAGGAUUGGUGGGGCCCCGAUCCAGCGUGUCAAUACCGAUAGGGGGGACAGAUGCAAAAGCCAUACUCGACAC
Molecule: RNA transcript, 6357 nt
Organism: Mobula hypostoma (lesser devil ray)
Lineage: Eukaryota; Metazoa; Chordata; Chondrichthyes; Myliobatiformes; Myliobatidae
Gene name: zinc finger protein 239-like
Exons: 3
Source: RefSeq, a predicted model, not a curated record